Molecule: long non-coding RNA, 1467 nt
Filed under: Cricetulus griseus (Chinese hamster)
Lineage: Eukaryota; Metazoa; Chordata; Mammalia; Rodentia; Cricetidae
Description: lncRNA (ENSCGRG00015036921.1)
Source: RNAcentral
CUCUGCAUUGCCUAGCAUCCUCACGCUCUGUUCUCUGAAGCUGUCUCUGCUUCAAUGUCUGUAAAUCUUAACGAUGACUGGCCCCGUUUGAGUCACACGGGCCAUUGGUCUACACUUUGAAGAUGGGGUGAUAUGUGAUUGAAUCCACCACUCACCCACAUGAGCGCUGGAGGAGGUUGGGGGUGGCUAUCCAACGUCUUCAGUGUCGUUUUUCUUCACCUUUAGUGAACAUGCCACUCACCGGGGUACCCUGUCCAAUUGCUGCUGCUGGAGAACUAGAAACCAUACGUGAGUGUUGACCACAUAGCCUUGCACCAUCCAGCUCGGCUUCUGGAGAACUAGGGACCACAUAGCCUUGCACCAUCCAGCUUGGUAGUUACUAGCCCUAUGUAUUGCUUUACAUGUAUUUUAUUUUCCUUGCUUUUUUAUCUUGUAAUCUGAUCAACCCAUUAGAAUUUGGAAAUUUUAGCAAAAGCAACCCAAGUCCUGAGUUUGUCCGUUUGUUUAGCUCAUGUCAAAAGGGGAAAUGGGAAAUUGGUUUCAUGGCAAUAGAAGGACAGGGAGAUGGUCUUAGGAACUGCAGACUUCAGGGACUCAAAUGAUGUCACGGCCACAAUUUAUCAUCGCCGUGAUACCCCCUUCUUGACUUUCUGGGCCCUGCGUAGUUUUUACUUGUACACUGGCUUCCUCUCCGAGCAAGACAUCUGACCUCUGGAGGCUUGCAUGGCUGUCUCCCUCCUCUGGGUCUGUUCCUUCCUUCAGGGAAAAGGGAGGGAGGAGUGGGGAGGGGGGCAGAGAGGAGGGAAGAGAAAGGCUUAUAAGCCUCGGGAAACUUAAUAAGGCUCCGGAGUUGAGGUUCCCCUCCACCCACAAGUUGCACAGAGAGCUCCGAGCUCCUCCGGUGACUCAGCUUUUGUGAGUCAUCACCCAUGCUAGGUGACAAAUAUUCCUGAGUCACCCCCACUCCUGUUAAGCGACCAUUAUUAAACUUAUUGGUUCAUCAAGCUGAACUUGGGAGGGGCCAUUCGUUGGGCUCUGUUGUUGGUGCCCUGACUUGGGUGCACGGAUAUUUGUUCAUGUCUCCCAAAGUCUUGGACUGAUUAACACACUCACCGUUGUCAUUUCUGGGGUCCCACGGCCACCCACGUGGCCAUCAGCAUUCAGACAAAAUGUCCAGUCAUCCCAGGUGCUGGCCUUUCUGGGGCUAGCCGUGCCUGCGCCAUCAACGUUCAUCCCAGGGACUUAUGGCCAUGUAAUGGAUGGGUGGCGUGAGUACAUAAGCCCCCAUACGCAUGCGCUAAGUGACCUUUAGAAGCAGAUACGCCCUACCCACUCUCUCCAUGUUUCUUCCAGACAGGCGUGUGCACACACCCUCUGCCUACUUUUUACUAAUAAAACUAUUAAGUGGGUUUUGUUGUCUCUCUUGUGGUGUGUUCGCGCACACAGUAAGUAAUACCAUCUCCACAG